RNAcentral lists this ribosomal RNA (261 nucleotides) under Salmonella enterica subsp. enterica serovar Infantis. RNAcentral's name for it is "partial 16S ribosomal RNA". It matches the Rfam family "Bacterial small subunit ribosomal RNA", at positions 997 to 1258 of the family's 1533-position model. Lineage: Bacteria; Pseudomonadati; Pseudomonadota; Gammaproteobacteria; Enterobacterales; Enterobacteriaceae. The record is from RNAcentral. RNAcentral also lists the same sequence under 1 other name.
AAUCCAGAGAUGGAUUUGUGCCUUCGGGAACUGUGAGACAGGUGCUGCAUGGCUGUCGUCAGCUCGUGUUGUGAAAUGUUGGGUUAAGUCCCGCAACGAGCGCAACCCUUAUCCUUUGUUGCCAGCGAUUAGGUCGGGAACUCAAAGGAGACUGCCAGUGAUAAACUGGAGGAAGGUGGGGAUGACGUCAAGUCAUCAUGGCCCUUACGACCAGGGCUACACACGUGCUACAAUGGCGCAUACAAAGAGAAGCGACCUCGC